ACUAGAGUAGCAAAACCUGGUAAUGCAAAUGACCUAAGCCCUUUUCAUAGAGGUUCAACUCCUCUCUCCAGUU
This 73-nucleotide transfer RNA is filed under the name Chthonerpeton indistinctum. RNAcentral describes it as "tRNA-Leu". It matches the Rfam family "tRNA". From Rfam's summary of the family: Transfer RNA (tRNA) molecules are approximately 80 nucleotides in length. Their secondary structure includes four short double-helical elements and three loops (D, anti-codon, and T loops). Further hydrogen bonds mediate the characteristic L-shaped molecular structure. tRNAs have two regions of fundamental functional importance: the anti-codon, which is responsible for specific mRNA codon recognition, and the 3' end, to which the tRNAs corresponding amino acid is attached (by aminoacyl-tRNA synthetases). tRNAs cope with the degeneracy of the genetic code in two manners: having more than one tRNA (with a specific anti-codon) for a particular amino acid; and 'wobble' base-pairing, i.e. permitting non-standard base-pairing at the 3rd anti-codon position. Lineage: Eukaryota; Metazoa; Chordata; Amphibia; Gymnophiona; Typhlonectidae. The record is from RNAcentral.